UGAAAGAGGUAUGUAACUGUAGGUGGAGUGAAAGAGGUAUGUGACUGUAGGUGGAGGUAAAGAGGUAUGUGACUGUAGGUGGAGGUAAAGAGGUAUGUAACUGUAGGUGGAGUGAAAGAGGUAUGUAACUGUAGGUGGAGUGAAAGAGGUAUGUAACUGUAGGUGGAGUGAGAGGUAUGUAACUGUAGGUGGAGGUAAAGAGGUAUGUAACUGUAGGUGGAGUGAAAGAGGUAUGUGACUGUAGGUGGAGGUAAAGAGGUAUGUGACUGUAGGUGGAGUGAAAGAGGUAUGUAACUGUAGGUGGAGUGAAAGAGGUAUGUAACUGUAGGUGGAGUGAAAGAGGUAUGUAACUGUAGGUGGAGGUAAAGAGGUAUGUAACUGUAGGUGGAGUGAAAGAGGUAUGUAACUGUAGGUGGAGUGAAAGAGGUAUGUGACUGUAGGUGGAGUGAG
This is a long non-coding RNA of Oncorhynchus keta (chum salmon), 450 nucleotides long. RefSeq lists it as uncharacterized. Lineage: Eukaryota; Metazoa; Chordata; Actinopteri; Salmoniformes; Salmonidae. The record is from RefSeq and is a predicted model, not a curated record. The transcript has 4 exons.